GCGCCCGUAGCUCAGCGGAUAGAGCACCGGACUUCUAAUCCGAUGGUCGGAGGUUCGAAUCCUCCCGGGCGCA
Molecule: transfer RNA, 73 nt
Filed under: Actinopolymorpha singaporensis
Lineage: Bacteria; Bacillati; Actinomycetota; Actinomycetes; Propionibacteriales; Actinopolymorphaceae
Also listed under: 2 other names
Rfam family: tRNA
About the family: Transfer RNA (tRNA) molecules are approximately 80 nucleotides in length. Their secondary structure includes four short double-helical elements and three loops (D, anti-codon, and T loops). Further hydrogen bonds mediate the characteristic L-shaped molecular structure. tRNAs have two regions of fundamental functional importance: the anti-codon, which is responsible for specific mRNA codon recognition, and the 3' end, to which the tRNAs corresponding amino acid is attached (by aminoacyl-tRNA synthetases). tRNAs cope with the degeneracy of the genetic code in two manners: having more than one tRNA (with a specific anti-codon) for a particular amino acid; and 'wobble' base-pairing, i.e. permitting non-standard base-pairing at the 3rd anti-codon position.
Source: Rfam by way of RNAcentral